UUAGCUGAAACCAAACUAGAGGUAAAUCACUGUUAAUGAUUUUAUUGAGUAAUCCUGCUGUU
RNAcentral lists this transfer RNA (62 nucleotides) under Pseudoniphargus sp. 2-Portugal. RNAcentral's name for it is "tRNA-Asn". Lineage: Eukaryota; Metazoa; Arthropoda; Malacostraca; Amphipoda; Allocrangonyctidae. The record is from RNAcentral.